RNAcentral lists this long non-coding RNA (413 nucleotides) under Phoenix dactylifera (date palm). RNAcentral describes it as "long non-coding RNA (PDAC_LNC017814)". Lineage: Eukaryota; Viridiplantae; Streptophyta; Magnoliopsida; Arecales; Arecaceae. The record is from RNAcentral.
CAAUAUUAUAUAACGUUGCUAUUGUUACAACGUAAAGAAAAACUGUGCAGGAAACUUUGUAGAAGACUUUGUAGCUGAAUCGUUGAUGUAGUUGGAAGAAUUCAAAUGUGGUGGUCUAACAACAUCCUUAUCCAGUGUUUAGAAUAUGAGUUCUUUGAUUAUCUUUAUUGUAAUGAACACAAGUAGAUGAGCAACUUGAAUUAUCGGGAUUUCAUAAGUAAAGUGGAUCGGCAACUUGGAAAGGUUUACUUGAUCACCACUAUCCUGUCUGCCAGUAAUUAAAAAUAAAUAAAUAAAUUUAACUUGUAAACUUUAUUAUUAAGAUUACGAUUCUUAAAUUGGAAAAUAAAUACAAUAUUGGCAUUUAACUCCUGUGUCACAAAACAUAUGUCUAAAAGCCUUAUAUAUAUAUA